GAGGGUAUAACUCAGUGGUAGAGUGUGUGCUUGGCAUGCAUGAGGUCCUGGGUUCAAUCCUCAGUACCUCCA
This 72-nucleotide transfer RNA is filed under the name Camelus bactrianus (Bactrian camel). It matches the Rfam family "tRNA". From Rfam's summary of the family: Transfer RNA (tRNA) molecules are approximately 80 nucleotides in length. Their secondary structure includes four short double-helical elements and three loops (D, anti-codon, and T loops). RNAcentral also lists the same sequence under 2 other names. The record is from Rfam by way of RNAcentral. Lineage: Eukaryota; Metazoa; Chordata; Mammalia; Artiodactyla; Camelidae.